RNAcentral lists this ribosomal RNA (2279 nucleotides) under groundwater metagenome. RNAcentral's name for it is "bacterial LSU rRNA". It matches the Rfam family "Bacterial large subunit ribosomal RNA", at positions 1126 to 2664 of the family's 2925-position model. The record is from RNAcentral.
AAGAGUGCGUAACAGCUCACUGGUCGAGUGAUUUUGCGUCUAAAAUGAACGGGGCUUAAGCCUUUAACCGAAACCAUGGGUUCGUUUUAACUUCGGUUAAAACGAGCAGUAGAGGAGCAUACUGUCAUGCGAUGAAGGCGUACCGUAAGGAGCGCUGGAGUAGACAGUAGUGAUAAUGUUGGUAUGAGUAGCGAAAACUACGGCGAGAAACUGUAGCGCUGAGAAUCUAAGGUUUCCUGGGGAAGGUUAAUCCACCCAGGGUUAGUCGAUCCUAAGCUGAGGCCGAAAGGCGUAAGUGAUGGAUGUCCGGUUAAUAUUCCGGAACCGGUUAUGAACGUUAUUAGCUUAUGAUGACGCAGAAGGCUAGGUGAGCGAAGUGUUGGACGUCUUCGUUGAAACCCGUAGUCCCAUUGAAAGAUGGGAUGAGAGGUGACCUCGAGCCCGCGGUACGCCAAAGGCGAAGUCAUCAAGGCCAUAUUGCCGAGAAAAACUCAUAAGUCAGUCUCAUAACCGAUCGUACCGUAAUCCGACACAGGUAGAUGCCCAUAGAAUGGGAAGGCGCUCGAGAUAACUCUCCUUAAGGAACUAGGCAAAAUGACCCCGUAACUUCGGGAAAUGGGGUGUCUUGUCAAGUGUAGGUGUUUACCACCGAAGCUUGGCGGGAUCACAGUAAAGAGGCCCGGUCGACUGUUUAGUAAAAACACAUCACUCUGCGAAGUCGAAAGACAAUGUAUAGGGUGUGACACCUGCCCGGUGCUGGAAGGUUAAGUGGAGCGGUUAGUCCGCCGCAAGGCGAGACAAAGCUGCGAAAUGAAGCCCCAGUAAACGGCGGCCGUAACUAUAGAAUAGACCACUGUAGUUGUAAAAUUUGGCUAUAUGCUGGAACGUCCUGUAAGGCUGACAGUACAUUCUCUCGCGUUGAGAGAAUUGUGACAAUCUGUCAGAUAGGGAUAAUCAGCAGGAAAGAUCUGAAAAUGAAUCCAGAAAUUGGUUAUUAUCUUGCCGGUUUUACGGAUGGAGAAGGAAGUUUUAAUAUUUCUUUUCGUCCUCGACAAGAUUACAAAAUUCCUUGGAAAGUUUCUCUGUGUUUUAAUGUCUCUCAGAAAGAUAAAGUUAUUUUAGCUCUAUUUAAACAUCAUCUAGGGUGCGGAACUUUACGUGGGCGUCCAGAUGGUGUUUGGUAUUAUGAGGUAAAUAAUUUUAAUGCUAUUCGAGAAAAGGUUAUUCCUUUUUUUAAAAAGUUUCACUUUCUUUCAGCUAAGAAAAAACGCGAUUUCGCGAAAUUUUGUCAGGCUGUGGAGAUGAUAGAAAAAGGUAAGCACCUAAACUACGAGGGCAUAAAAGAGAUAUUAGAAUUACGCAGGGAAAUGAAUGAUGGAGGGAAUCGUAAAUAUACUGAAAUGUAUAUCCUCCAAAGUUUUCAGAAAUCCUCAGAGACUAUACGCCAAAUCCCUCUUAACAGAGGGAAUGAUAUAGUCCGGUCUUCCGAGAAAUCGGAAGUCAUCGUUGUCAAAAACGAUGAGCCUGGAUGAGAAUUCAACCAGGUUAACAUAAACGAACGGUCCUAAGGUAGCGAAAUUCCUUGUGGGGUAAGUUCCCACGCGCACGAAUGGUGUAACGAAUUGGGCGCUGUCUCAAGGAGAGACUCGGCGAAAUUGUAGUGGCGGUGAAGAUGCCGCCUACCCGCAUCAAGACGAAAAGACCCCGGAACCUUUACUGCAUUCUGGUAUUGAAUUUGGGUGUUGUUUGUGUAGCAUAGGUGGGAGGCUUUGAAGUCCCGGCGUUAGCUGGGAUGGAGCCGUCAGUGAAAUACCACCCUAAUGACUCUUAGGUUCUAACUUCGAUUCCUUUUAUCAGGACGAAAAACAGUGCCAGAUGGGCAGUUUGACUGGGGCGGUUCCCGUUUAAAGAGUAACAACGGGGUCCAAAGGUUCCCUCAAGACGGUUGGCAAUCGUCUGUAGAGUAUAAAGGCAUAAGGGAGCUUAACUGUGAGUCCGACGGGACGAACAGAUACGAAAGUAGGGCUUAGUGAUCCGGUGGUUGAUUAUGGGAUUGCCAUCGCUCAACGGAUAAUAGGUACUCCGGGGAUAACAGGCUGAUAGCGCUCGAGAGUUCAUAUCGACAGCGCUGUUUGGCACCUCGAUGUCGGCUCAUCCUAUCCUGGGGCUGAAUAAGGUCCCAAGGGUCCGGCUGUUCGCCGGUUAAAAGGGUACGCGAGCUGGGUUUAGAACGUCGUGAGACAGUUCGGUAUCUAUCUGGUGUGGGCGCGCGAUACUUG